Molecule: transfer RNA, 56 nt
Filed under: Salmo salar (Atlantic salmon)
Lineage: Eukaryota; Metazoa; Chordata; Actinopteri; Salmoniformes; Salmonidae
Rfam family: tRNA
About the family: Transfer RNA (tRNA) molecules are approximately 80 nucleotides in length. Their secondary structure includes four short double-helical elements and three loops (D, anti-codon, and T loops).
Source: Rfam by way of RNAcentral
GCUCAGUUGGUAGAGUAUGGUGUUUGCAACGCCAGGGUUGUGGGUUCGAUUCCUAC